UACAGGGGGGGCAAGCGUUGUUCGGAAUUACUGGGCGUAAAGGGCCAGUAGGCGGCCAACUAAGUCACACGUGAAAUCCCCAGGCUUAACCUGGGAAGUGCGCGGAAAACUGGCGAGCUUGAGUGCCGGAGAGGGUCGCGGAAUUCCCGGUGUAGAGGUGAAAUUCGUAGAUAUCGGGAGGAACACCAGUGGCGAAGGCGGCGACCUGGACGGACACUGACGCUGAGACGCGAAAGCGUGGGGAGCAAACAGG
Molecule: ribosomal RNA, 253 nt
Filed under: uncultured bacterium
Lineage: Bacteria
Description: partial 16S ribosomal RNA
Rfam family: Bacterial small subunit ribosomal RNA
Source: RNAcentral